RNAcentral lists this long non-coding RNA (358 nucleotides) under Cricetulus griseus (Chinese hamster). Its description in RNAcentral is "lncRNA (ENSCGRG00015034107.1)". Lineage: Eukaryota; Metazoa; Chordata; Mammalia; Rodentia; Cricetidae. The record is from RNAcentral.
GCAUGACACUCUUCUGAUGCUGAGCAGUAGCCACAAGCCACAGCUCCCAGUCAGCUGUUCAUCACACUGGCAGACAACCAAGACCCCCAAGUGAGCUGUGAUGCCCAGUCGGGAUCUUCAGGAGGCUGCACAUAUGCAAUGCAUGUUCAACUUGACACAUCCCAACUUACAGUGCGGUCACUGAGAUACAGUCCUGCGAGGCUGAGGCAGGAGGAUUGCUUGGAGUUCAGGCUAGCUUGGGCUAGCAGUGUAAGACCCUGCCUCACAGGAAGAAAACACUUUGAUGGAGACGAGUGGGAAGAUGGGAGAGAGAGAUCGAUGUGUAUUCAAAAGCUUGUGGAAGUCUACUACUUAAGAG